Long non-coding RNA from Tachysurus vachellii, 3732 nucleotides. RefSeq lists it as uncharacterized. NCBI's taxonomy places the organism in Eukaryota, Metazoa, Chordata, Actinopteri, Siluriformes, Bagridae. The transcript has 5 exons. The record is from RefSeq and is a predicted model, not a curated record.
UAGUUUAAACAUUUACACACACACACACACACACACACACACGCUCCUGUACACCUGACACAGACCUUCCCACACACUCCUCAUACAUCUGUAAAGCUCUAGGUCUGUAGUUGAUGAAGGUAAGGUGAGCGCAGAAUGGGACCUCGCACAGCAGAUGGGCCAUCCAAACAUGAGAAGGUCGCCUCUCAGAAUUGUCAUGGUAACAGGAGUGAUGGGUAUUACAAUGAUUCUCCUGUGCUCAAUAACCCAAAGUCAGUUUUGAAGAGGCAGGUGAGUCCAGAAGAGCUACAGACACCUGGAGGGAAAUAUCUGAAGAGGAUAUUUACUAUCGUCGGGGAUGCUGUGGGCUGGGGGUUUGUCGUGAGAGGCAGCAGUCCAUGUCACAUUCAGGCUGUAGAUCCGAGCGGACCAGCCGCUGCUGUCGGAAUGAAGGUAUGUCAGUUUGUAGUGUGUGUGAACGGAGUGAAUGUCUUGGAGAUGGACUAUCGGACCGUCAGUCAUCUCAUUCUCACCGGUCCUCGUACCGUUGUCAUGGAGGUGAUGGAGCCACUGGACUGCUGAGGCUGAAAUGACUAAAGAACCGCUUUUAAAAAUUCAAAGAAGUGCUCAGAAAGAAUUGUGAAAAAAGUCAAAUACUGUGAGUUGCAUAACAUAUGAGGUAAUGACUUGUACCCUGGUGCAUCAGGCUGCUCAAAAGGAAACAAAUAACAUAAAUUGUGAUAGUCCUCAUCAUAUUGUACAGUAAGGAAAAACCCUCAGGGGUUUGCUGGAGGUAAAACAGUUCAGGUGCAGAGUGAAAUAUUUCACCCCCAAUGCUAUAAAUUAGACCUGAAAAAUAUUUUGUUUAUGAAAUAAUUUACGAUUUAAAACACGUUAGACUGUAAGAACCAAAUAAUGGUUGUAAGUUAUUAGAUUUUAAACAUUAGCUGAUCUUUUCUAAGUGGACCUUAAAUACAACGAGGGGAUAAUAAAUAAAUAAAUAAAUAAAUAAAUAAAUAGAUAGAUAAAUAAAUAAAUAAAUAAAUUCUUAGUAGUAGUAAUAUUUUUGUUAAUAUUUAAUAUACUUCCAACUCAUAUAUUUCCACAUAUAAUGUCUUUUUGAUUAUAAAUCUGAACAAAAAUAUGUAUUCCUACCCACAUCCACACACACACACACACACACACACACCCACACACACACACACACACGAACCCUACAAGGAAAUUUAAUUCAUGCUACAAAAAAAGUGACAUUAUUAUAAAUGACCAAUGCUUUUGAGAAAAUUUCACAUUUCAUGCAACAAGUAACAACUGAAAUUGAAUAAGCUUCCAAAAGUUCUCAGAAACAAAAAUCGUAAACAUCACUUAAAUGGAAAUUGGUGCAGAGCUUCAGCAAAGAACAUUAACAUCCUGGUCAGAACGAUUGUUUUGAUGACGUAAAGUUGAAAAGUUCAGGGAACCACAAGAUUUUACAACAAUCCCUAAAACUGAUGAUAAGGAAGAUAAGAGAGACGCCAGAAAUCACUGGAAAAGAGCUGAAGGACAACCUGAAAGCAGCAGGAACAACAAGCACAACAAUAACAUGCCUUCAUCUUACACUUAACUCCUCUGAUACAAAAAGCACAGACGUGCACAUAAUCAUAUUUAAAUAAAUAAGAAAAUAUUUGGAAUUAUAUACUCAAACACAAAAAAACUCUUUGCCAAUAUUUCAGCUCUUCAGAAAGAAUAAAAAGAGAAGGAUUGCACCUAGCACGUUCGCCUCACACCUCCAGGGUUGGGGGUUCGAUUCCUGCCUCCGCCUUGUGUGUGUAGAGUUUGCAUGUUCUCCCCGUGCCUCGGGGGUUUCCUCCGGGUAUUCCGGUUUCCUCCCCCGGUCCAAAGACAUGCAUGGUAGGUUGAUUGGCAUCUCUGGAAAAUUGUCCGUAGUGUGUGAUUGCGUGAGUGAAUGAGAGUGUGUGUGUGUGCCCUGUGAUGGGUUGGCACUCCGUCCAGGGUGUAUCCUGCCUUGAUGCCCGAUGACGCCUGAGAUAGGCACAGGCUCCCCGUGACCCGAGGUAGUUCGGAUAAGCGGUAGAAAAUGAGUGAGAGUGAGUGAGUGAGGAUUGCACCUGAACCUUAAGAACGCCAUCUGCAGUGAAGCACGGUGCUGGGAGCAUCGGGAUACAGUUCUACUUCUCUGCAAACACUGCUGGUUUGCGAAUACACAUCAUGAUUGACCAAAUCAUGAACCAAACAAAGUUUGGAGACAUAUAAAAGGAGACAAGAAAAACAGAAAAAAGAAAAACAGCAACCCCAUGUAUACAGCACAUAAUAACUCGCAUAAAAAAGGCGACGGUGCUCACAUAUGGUGUAUCCAAUCAAAUGACGUGUUAUAAUACUACAAUGCUGUGAAAAAAGGGAUUAAUUAUUGAUUCUUACUAUAAACAUCUUGAAUCAAGUUUACCUAUCUAUUUUGUUAAACCUAUCUUUAUUUAUCUUUUUAAUACAUACGUUUUGGUCAUAUUUAUAAGUGUAAAAUCAAAAGACAUUAUGUGUGUACGUAUAAACUGGAAGUAUAUGUGAUAAGAAUAGCAAUUGGUAUUAAAGACUUAAUUGUUUCCCUUCAGUAAAUUAGUAGAUUUGUUAUUCAGUAAAAGUUUUUAGAACUUCGUUAGCUGAUUUCAGUUAUUGAUCAUUUUAAAUACUGAUUUGUAGAUGUCUAUUUUCUCAGCAGUUCUUUGUGAGCAAGUCUAUGUGUAAAUUGAAAUGAAAUUAACAUAGACAUAUACGUACAUAUACAGACUUUGAUUUAGCUAUCAGUUUAGUUACAAGAGCUCUAAUGUUACACUUUCUAAGUUAUACAAUAAGAAUUGUGAGUAAACUUGACUUAAAGAUGAUCUUUGUUUCAAUUCACAAUUAGAGAGAAGGGAUUAGUGUAAGUUACAUUUUUGACAUUUUGAGUAUAAGACUGAGGUCAAUAUUCAAAACUUGAUAAUUAAUUGGAGUUGACUAUGAUAUACUGUACAUGUAAUGGUUUUUAAAUCUUCAGAAAAUAUCAUUUUAUUUUUUAUUUCUGAUUAACAGCAGAUAUUUGGCUCAUUAUACUGGGAAAUAUGUAACUGUGACAUUUGCAAAUGUUUAAAAUAGUAGAAAUAUUUAUACAAUGUAAUUAGCAUAGGCUGAACAUAAUUAAAAUGAUUUCUUUCGAAGAAUUUAAUUCCAAACAUACGUUGUCAGUUAAUUCGUUAUAAAUGUGCACUCCAUGAAAGUAUUACGUACUUAUAAAAUGCAUUGUUACAUAAUUAUUCUAAUUAUUCGCUCUAGUUUUUAUGCUUUUACUAACAGUGGUGAGUUUUUACUUUAAUAGAUGUUUACUAAUGAUGUUGUAAGUUUACAUACUAAACCUUAUACCACUCCUUCACUCUGUCUCAAGUCUAAAUAUGAUUAAUUAUUGUACAUGGUACACGCUGUAAUUCAUUUAAAUAUGUGAUGUGUUUUAUGUUUGUUAUGGUAGAGCACUUGCCUGUGAUUGUGUGUUACUUGUGGCUUAACAUAUUCAACUUUCUAACAUGGCUACUACAUAUCUGAUUAAUCUUUCUUUAGCUUUCUCUUGUGGUUAUUUUUCUUUGUCCAUGUGUGCACUUAAAAUACAUUUCAACUGUAAACACCCACCUAGUUUCAAUGUUCUUCUUUUUCCCAAUUAGACUUUUCACAGAUAGAUAGAUAGAUAGAUAGACAGAUAGAUAGAUAGAUAGAUAGAUAGAUAGAUAGAUA